Sapajus apella (tufted capuchin) is the source of this 3814-nucleotide long non-coding RNA. RefSeq lists it as uncharacterized. The transcript is spliced from 2 exons. NCBI's taxonomy places the organism in Eukaryota, Metazoa, Chordata, Mammalia, Primates, Cebidae. The record is from RefSeq and is a predicted model, not a curated record.
UUUUUUUUUUUAAAGAGGGAGCAUGAUAGUAGAACUGGACCCUUUCUUAUUACAUGUAGAGGACUGUAUGUUAGACCCACCAGUGAUGGCACCAGGCCCUGUGUCCCUCCUAAGUAAAACUUCUUUGUUCAUAGCUCAUAGGGCAGGUAUACCAUGUGACCUCAUAGUCUUCCCUAUCCAAAUCCAGAGAUUCGCCAAUUACCUACAAUGUGUCCUGGUACAAAAAGAUAUUCAGGCCAAUCAGACUUUUUUCAUGUAGACCAAAUUAGGAACUCAGAAAGAAAUGGGAGGUAUGUCAAAGGACAUAUAGAGAACAUUCACAAUAUAUGCUUGGGGUCAUAAGUCAAGGUCAAGUUGGAGUUGGGCAAAAGCAGAAAAUAUUAAAGGAGAAACAAGAAAAUAUAUGGAGGUAAAAGGGAGAAAACCUCAGGAAACUGGUGAUGGGCAGGAAAAGGCAAGCAGAAAUAUUAGCGACAUAUCACUGUAGGGCAGCCAAGAAGUCUGGAAACAGAUAGUAUUUUAUUGUACAUUUUAAUGCAGUAUCAGUGAAGUAUUUAUUAUGCGUUGGUUACAUUUACAGACUUGAAAUUCAGCCUGUAGGUGGAAAUUCAGUAGCCUGGCUCUGCUGUGGAUCCCACUCAAGUUGUCUGACUUUUCCUGUAUUCCAGUGCAUUUGUAUUCACUGUAUACCAUCUUGCCAUCCCCAAUAUUUCUGGGGAUAACUAAAGUGAAUCUUUUUUGCUAGCAACCAGAAGAUGCUAACUGAACUAGACUCUUUGAGGGUGAAGCACAUUUUCUAACAUAGGUUUAUAUACUAUUUUUGGCUGGGGAGAUUUUUCGUGUGUGUGUCUUACCUUUUCUGUAAUCUAUGCUCCUGAGACUUCUGAAAACUUACAUUUGUCUUAAGUGCUGUGCAUCUAUCAGUGCUUUUCUUUGUGUAAAUAUUUCUACCAUGAUGUAAACUGCAGUGUUUGAUUAAAGCCCAUUGAUUUGUCUUGCAGAACAGAAAACAAACCAUUCAGUUUACUUCAGUCAAAUCUAAUGCUAACUCUAAUACCAUGCUUGCCAAAACUUCCAUUAAAGACAUAUGCCUUGACUCAUUGAUUCCAAUAAUAGGGAAAAGCACCAUUCCCCAGCAGCUGGAGAUUUGAUAUUGCUUUUGAGGGAAAAAAAAAAACCUGCCAAAAUAUUUAUAUAGCUUGAGAACUCUAGAAGCCUCUUAGUAGCAGGCAGGAUUCUAUGAUCUCUAGUAGCACAGAAAUUGCUAGUUCUUGAGGAAGUCUAAAUUGGCUCAUAGUAAGAACAUGGAUGAGACAAGUAACAGAAUAAAAGUUAAAGUAAUAAUGUUGGGAAUCACAGACAUCUAGAAGAGACACGCAGACACACAAAAAAACAAAUCUCAGACUAAGAAUAGUAUCAUCAUUAAACCCAAACUUAAUACUUAGUGUCUCAGUAACCGAGGCAAGAGGGAAACUAGAUGAUGAUUAGUUCUUAUUAUCUAACUACAAGAUGUACCACAUUUUACCUCGCUAAACAAAACCUUAAUCUUUUCCUGGUCCAUUGAUUAGAGGUGAAUAUAUUAGGAUGUCCUUAUGUAUGAUUAGAAGUGAAUGUAUUAUGAUGUCCUUAUGUAUUAUGACAGCAUUGAAUAUUAUGAACUUCAACCUACGUGUUAGUAACCAUAUCUAUAAAUACAGUCAACAGAUAAUUAUAUACUAAAUGGUGUUUUCCUUUUUACUAAAAGUUCUUACAGAUUACAUGUUCAGUGUUUUUAUUUUUAUUUUUUUACCUCAGCCUUGAGGACAGUCAAAAACUUUAAAUGAUAAUUAUGUAAAGACAAGUUUACAGAGGCCCGGGGUAGACAGUGAGCGAUAUUUUCAAGAUACAUACCUGUCAUGUAUGCACAGGAUGAAACAUUGAUCCCAGGCCUUGCUUGCACUCCCAGAUUUAACUUUGACAUUCUCACAUAAGCUUCUACCAUUCAUUUCUAUUGAACCAUCUGUAGCUGCCUGGAAAAUUUUAUGUUGCCAUUUGCUUUCUUGCCCUUUCAUUUACCCUGCCUUUAUCUGGAACACCUUGAUAGCUAUUCAAUUUUGUGUAACUUUUUCUUAUUUUAACUCUAGCACUGCCUACUGCCUAGGAGGACAAGGAGCAUGGUGCUGGGUACAUACAGGCACCAGAACAUUCCUGAGGACUCACACCACAGGGAAAGAAUAUAGGUGCAUAGGAGACAUACAGGGAAGAUGAGGAGGCAGAGUGACUGCAGAGGCAGAGAAGAGAGUGAUGAGGCCACGAAUCAAGGAUUGUCAAGAUCAGCCAGAAGCCUGAAGAGGCAAGGGAAAGGGGAGGAUCCUGCCCUAGAGCUUUUGGAAGAAGCAUGGCUUUGCUGACACCUUGAUUGUGGGCUUCUGCCUCCAGAACUGCAAGAGAAUACAUUUCUGUUGCUUUAUGCUUCCCAGUUUGUGGUCACGUGUUCCAAAGAUAGUAGUAUAGCUCCUUUUUACUUUCUUUUCCUCUCCAUUUAAGUUUUUCUAUCCUUUUGUGCAUUUGUCCAUUUAUGCCCUUCAUGAAAAUCUCACACACUCUCUCUCUCUCAUUGUUGUAUCAUUGCCAAGACAAAGCACAAAACAAUAAUUUAAUGCAUGUGGGUAUGAUUGGACUUUUAUGCAAAGUUGAUUGACUGUUAAGCCAACUGACCAUAUUUUUAAUAUGAAUGAAAAUACAAAUUACUUGGCAGUUUUGGUAAAAAUGCAGAGUCCCAAUGUUUUCACCCUAACACAUUUCUGAUUUUAUUGGUCUGAGAUGUGACCUGUGAACCAGUAUUUUCUAACAAGAAUCUGAGGGACUCUUAUAUAGAUGGCUAACAAUCCAUACUAAGGAAACAUUAAAGUAAGGCAUGGUUCCCUUUGUUUGCUAUCAAGAACUGAUGUAUAUUUGUGGUAUGUCAGUCUAAAAGCCCAUUACAAUCCAGGAAGUAAUGUCUAUAGGUCAAAUCCCAGGCCUCCGUAAAAAUAUAAGUAAUCUCAAAAGGAUUUGGUUAGACUCACGUUUAAUAAUUCACAGUGGCUAAUUCAAGGAAAUGAGGGUGGUUCCUUAACCUCUGAGUUGAAAGCCAAGGGGGUGUAGCAUAACAUUUCCCAGCAUGUUCUUUACUGCCACUGCCUGGGAGUGGAUUCUACACAGGCCUGGCGGGCCCAUGUUCCCACACACUGGGCCAAUUUUUGUUCCUGGCUCAGGGCUGUGCUUACUUAGAGGCGUAAUGGCUUUGUCUGUUUUGCUCCUCAGUGGGGCACAUCUCGCAUCUAUUUUGUUUAGGAACUCUAAACACAGUCUACAGUCCAAAGGGAAGCUCAGCUGUGGAACUCUGAAAAGGAUCUGGCUAGAAGCAGCCACAACACACUUUUUUUUCCCAUGCUUCUCAUCGUCCUUCUCAGACCUGGGAGGUUUUUCAGAGUACUUGAUGCUGCAGGCUGUUGGCUGAAACCACCCAUCCGGGAGCAUGUCCACCUCUUGCUUCUUGGUUGGCUAUAAACUCUGGUACAUCCAGGACAGAAAGUGGAAGCUGAAAAGGGCAAUCAGUUUGUGCCUAAAGGAGGCCAUUGUUUACCCCUUAUGAAAAUAAUGGGAAACAUAGUACAUUCUCACUCAUAAGUGGGAGCUAAGCUGUGAGGAUGAAAAGGCAUCAGAAGGGCACAUGGAGUUUGGGGUCUCAGUGGGAAAGGGUGAGAAGGGGGCGAGAGAUAAAGGACUACAAAUUGGGUUGACUGUAUACUGUUUGGGUGAUGGGUGGAUCAAGAUCUCACAACUCACUACU